Molecule: long non-coding RNA, 1469 nt
Filed under: Arabidopsis lyrata
Lineage: Eukaryota; Viridiplantae; Streptophyta; Magnoliopsida; Brassicales; Brassicaceae
Description: long non-coding RNA (ALYR_LNC002818)
Source: RNAcentral
AUGUCAAUUAUUUAUCUUAAUUUAUCAAACGAACCCUCAAAGCUUAAACAUUCUCAAUAUUUUGCCGCAAAGUAAUAAAACAUCAAUUCGCAUUCCAAUUCGAACCUUCUUUGCAAAGAGAAGUUUUAUUAGGAAGAUGAAGGGUCAUUAUUGUAGCAUUAUAACAUUACAAAUAAAGGACAAAUUCAUUAUUGUAGCACAUAACAUUAUUUACUACAAUUUCAAUCAUAUAAGGCGUCUGCAUAAUGUGAGACCAUCUCCGAUGGAUAUCUGAGCGAUUUCGACUCGAGGAUCUCGAGCCAAAAUCUUGUUGAACUCUAAAAGUGCUUCUCUAUAAGCUCUCAUAUGGCUUGGAACUUCGUUUUCCUUUUGAAUUAGAGUACCAAACCAUAAGGUGUUAUCGAACGCAAUGAUUCCUCCAACCUUCACUAACUUAAGCAGCUUCUCAAGGAAGUAAACGUAAUUCGUCUUGUCAGCAUCCACAAAUGCAAAAUCAUACUCUUGUUUCUCCUUGACCAUUAUCCAAAAUGUAUUGAAUAGAUUAGUCGAUUUAAUCAAAAAUUAUGGACCGAAUAAACAAAUGAUGUCUUUUCAGAUUUAUUAUUAAAAAGCUAGAAUAUGUUAAAAGUAUGAAAUACUUUUCAAACAAUAUUUCAUGAGUAAAAAAAAAUAGUAAUUUAGUGGUCCUAAACCAUUACCUUAAAAAUGACCAUUAGCUUAGUUUUUAAUCGUGUGCGUUGUACUAAUUAUUAGUAAGUAAUAUACGUACCCCGUUCAAUAAUUGGUCUAAGCCUCUAACAGCAUCAGAUUGAAUGAAAUUGAUCUUGUGAUCAACACCUGCUUUCUUCAUAAACUCUAGCCCCAAAUUGUAACCUGCUUGGUCAAUGUCUAUCGCAGUAAUCUGCAUACAGAAAACAAAAACAAAAUUAAUCAUAACAAUUAGUAACCCUAGCAUGAAUAAUUGUAAUUUUUGUUUGUCUGAUUAGCAAGAAGAAUCAUUACACGGCCAUCUUCAGGCAAAGCAAGAGCUACGGUGAAAAGUGAGUAACCCGUGAACACACCGAUCUCGAUAGUGUUUUUCGCAUUGAUGAUCUUUACAAGCAUCGAUAGAAAUAGACUUUCAUCAACCGGAACCCCCAUCUCGCUUCUGCGUUUAUAAAAUCGUUAUGAAUCAUAUAUCUUAAUUUACUGAUUACAUAAUCAAAUGAUUUAGGACUUACAAAUUGCCAUAUCUUUGGAUUGUAGCUUCUCGAAGUUCUUUAAGCAAUGCGUGCUCUCUUGGAUACGCUGUCGUUUCCAUAAUGUACUGUCAUAUAUAUGUAACACAUCAUGCAGUCGUAUAAGCAAGCACAUAUAUUUGUAAAUCUAUAGAUCAUUUUUAGAUGAUUAUGGGACUAGUAAAUCAAAACCUGUUUAAGAGCCUCGCUCUUGAGAAUCCCUUUGUCAGGUAAUCGACCAUCCAUCUCUCU